AUCGAUUCACGAGGGUCCAAGCGAUUCCCACCCCUACUAGCGUCUCCCGCUGAUUGAUGGGUGGGUGGGGCUUUCCAGGGGAAGUGCCCAUAAAAAGAAGUGAUGCGUAUAGAAACCCCUGAAACGUCAGUUGGACCCAUAAUCGAAAAAAACUUUCCGAAACUUGUAUGAACCCUGGCAAAGUGCAUUCGGCAUAGAAAUACUCUGUAACACGCCCCAACUGCUUUUUUGACACUUUUUCUACGUUUAGCAUGAGGAAACAACUCUAUAACUGUGUUAAUAAGUCAGAAUGCAUGAAAUACCAUUAAACCACCCCUUUAAAUGGUCAAAUAUUAUUAAACAGACAAUGCAAGAAAAUGAUCAGCCCCUAUCUACUUUACUAACAAACAGAAAGACUGCUUUAUUACUAAUUUUGUCAAGGUUAUCUGUAAGAUCAAAGCCUUUAAAAACUAUUUUGCUUGUCUCUAUGUCUUAAAGCCAUUUGCAGUGGGGCUGUAGUCAGGGAAACCACUGAUCAGCUGCUAUUUUUGGUCUGAGGACAUUUGUGCAGCCAGAUAUUCCUGAAUGUAAGAAUUUCAUUUUUGAGCAGACACCUUAAGACAAAUUAUAGGUGAAUAUAAUGAAUUGUAUAAUGAUAUUUUUAGCAAGCCAUUAGUCUGGGUCAUGGAAAUGACAUAUAAUGAUGCUGAUUGGUUAGUUUGUUAACAUUAUUUCAAUGAGUGUAUGUGUUGCCUUAAAACUUAUUUAGAUCAUGUUGCCUUGCCUUUAGAAAUACUACAGUGUAGUACUAUACUAUAUUAUUUUGCUGAGGUUUACCGGUAUGGUGUUUUACAGAAGCACACUUAGUGGUCAGCUGUGACUUAUCGUGUUUCCUAGCAGGAAAUACAAUACCAUCUUAUCUCCCUCUAAUGAGCGUAAAACACAAACUAACAGUUUGCUGCAUGACAAGAAGGUGCAUGCUGCUGGGACGUGACAGAUGAAACCCAACAAGGAGCAGAGGACAGACUGACAUUUGUCAUGUUCUUCAGUAAUCAGGAGCUACAGGAACUGCAUUAAGGCUCGGCUGCCUCCUCCUGUUGGCCCACAUGAACUCCAGCCCAGGCUCCCUGGAGGUAUGAUCAUCC
Long non-coding RNA from Misgurnus anguillicaudatus (oriental weatherfish), 1124 nucleotides. RefSeq lists it as uncharacterized. Lineage: Eukaryota; Metazoa; Chordata; Actinopteri; Cypriniformes; Cobitidae. The record is from RefSeq and is a predicted model, not a curated record.